CUCCGUCAAAUACCAGCGCCGCACGGAAGCGAUCCAGUCGCUCAGUGGUUAUAACAGGGGGCAGGAAGAGUAUUUCGGCGUAUAAGAGAAACCUGAACAUUAAAAUGAGCAAUAAAUAAUGAACUAUUUCUUUGCUGUGGUUGUCGCACAGCUACCAUCUUGCAGAGAGAAGCUAGAGGAGCUAUCUAACAGCCGAGCUUCUGGCAUCGGUUGCUUUCACGUCUGCAGCCACAGCCAUGGUGUUAACGGCCCUCAAGCUGUAUUUUGUUGGAACGGCUCUUACUGUCCUUGCUGUCCUUUAUGAAAUAGCGGACUCCUGUGGCGGUCUCAUGUACGCGCAGAACCAUCAUCUGCAGGACGUGGAGCAUCGACAGCGGUCUGCGAACAACCAACAAUGACGAAUGUCUGUGACUGAGAACAUGACAUUUUCAUGAUGGCUCAUUGGAAAAUGUCAGAGGUUUUUUUUUCAUUAGGCACAUUCGCAAAGAAAGGACACGAUGGUGAUGAUGAAUGUGUUUGUUCUUGUUUGGAACCUACUAUCUGAUCCCCCAAAACCUGUAGCAACUAGUCACUGCUGAAUGCUACUUGCACUGAAUGUUUGACGGUUUUUUAUUUUUAAAGAGUUAAAAUGUCGACUGUUCUCUGGAAAGAAGUCCUUGUCAAAACAAUGCCCCUGGACACUUUUUGGGCACUUAUUUUGCAUUAUAUAAAUUCCCAUUUAUUCAGUGGUCCUUCUUGAUAUAAAAUUUGCAUGUAUAAAGUCACUAAUCAAA
Molecule: long non-coding RNA, 773 nt
Organism: Oreochromis aureus
Lineage: Eukaryota; Metazoa; Chordata; Actinopteri; Cichliformes; Cichlidae
Exons: 2
Source: RefSeq, a predicted model, not a curated record